GUCAAGUUGGCAGAUUCAAUGUAAUCGAGUUAGGUUCGGUGUAGAUAGGUGAUAAAUCCUUUACUUGACA
Molecule: transfer RNA, 70 nt
Filed under: Calliotropis micraulax
Lineage: Eukaryota; Metazoa; Mollusca; Gastropoda; Seguenziida; Calliotropidae
Description: tRNA-Leu
Source: RNAcentral